Molecule: long non-coding RNA, 938 nt
Filed under: Pongo abelii (Sumatran orangutan)
Lineage: Eukaryota; Metazoa; Chordata; Mammalia; Primates; Hominidae
Description: lincRNA
Source: RNAcentral
AGCGGCUACCCUCUGCAGGCCCGGCCCGCACAACAGAGGCUGUAUGCGAGAGGAAUGGAAAUGAGCCUCAGGCCCUGCCGAAGGAGCCCCAUCCCCUUCCCCGCGCGGGGCUGAGGAAUGCUGGCCAGCCGGAAAGGAACCCUCGCUGGGAACGCCGCUCUCGCGCCUCUGAAACCCCAUUGAGAAGAACCCUUUGAUGCAAUUAAAGCGCAUUUCAUUGCAGGCCUGGGAGGAGGGAACGACCGGCAAGCUUUUUUCUGUCUCGGACGUGUGUGUGCACCUUUGUGGGCCGGGUUACUUGGAGACCAGGCGGGAACUGGAGCUCCCUCUCUCGCAGACGUUCUGUAACAUCAGAAAAGCGUACCCAUAAACAGAUUGGUUUUCACCAGGGGUGGAACCCAAUUUGGACACGAUCCAGGCUGACCUGCAGGCCGGGGUUCCUACUUUGAAAGGCUCUUUGGUGCGCCUUACACCCACCUUCCCUGCUGUAAAGGUUUAGGCGGAAAAGAAAUUGCGUUUGCAGGAGGAAGUUGUUUCUGAGGUUACUGCUCAGCAUUUUCCAUUUUCUCAGUGGUGGGGUGGGCCGUGUCGCAUAUCCAGAAGUGAUGUCACAGCCAGACCUGCAAAAUGAUGUAACCUGCAAGUGUUGAAGGACGACGAUGGGACAGCUAUUUUGAUACUCGUAUUAUUUUAUAACAUUUCCCUACUUUUUCCAUUGAGACAACUGUGUGACCUCAGAAAAUCCACAUAGCCUCUCUGAACUUAGUAUUUUUUUGUGUUAAAAUGAAUAUCACAAAGCCAGAGAACGAAUGUGAUGAAGUUCUGGGUGCUUGUGGAAUUCUUUCUAAGUUGGAGGUGGACACUUUAUAUACCUGCACAGGGGGAAGAUACGUGGGUCUGGAACUCCGGUAAACAAAAAGAUCCUAUUGGGACCUCUA